GUUUCCAUACAGCUCAUAUGGUUGCUUGCAGGGAUUUUGGUAUAUGAAGCCAUUGCUAGGCUCAUUGAUGAUACAGGUGAUGUAAACGGCUUUGUAAUGUUUAUAGUUGCUGCAUUUGGUCUGGUGGUGAAUGUCAUCAUGGCUCUUUUGUUGGGUCAUGAUCAUGGCCAUGGCCAUGAUGAUCACAAUCAUGAGACCAGGCACAGCCUUGGGAAGAAAAUUACCACUCAUUAUCACCACCACCACCACCAUCAUGAGAAGCACUUGAAAGAUGAGCACCAUCCUUUAUCCAGCAAUGGCACAGCAUUUUCUUCAGACACAGGAUGGUGC
This 330-nucleotide unclassified non-coding RNA is filed under the name Hevea brasiliensis (rubber tree). The record is from RNAcentral. Lineage: Eukaryota; Viridiplantae; Streptophyta; Magnoliopsida; Malpighiales; Euphorbiaceae.